RNAcentral lists this long non-coding RNA (398 nucleotides) under Nicotiana benthamiana. Its description in RNAcentral is "long non-coding RNA (NBEN_LNC028477)". Lineage: Eukaryota; Viridiplantae; Streptophyta; Magnoliopsida; Solanales; Solanaceae. The record is from RNAcentral.
UGUACCGUUGUCAACUUUCGGGUCGGGCCGUUGAGGUUGUCAUCAUCCCCACGUACUUCGGCGCAAUAGGCGUUGUGUAUUUCGUGUCUUUCCUUCAAUUUCGGGUCGGGCCGUUGAGGUCGUCAUCAUCCCCACGUACUUCGGCGCAAUAGGCGUUGUGUAUUUCUUCCCCGGUGAUGGGGGAUAUUUCAGGAGACGGCUGAGUAGCUUCUGGGUCGCCUUCGAGCCAUCUCUGCUGAGUCCGUUCUGAAAGGCCGCAACUGCCAUGCCUUCUGACAUGUUAGGUAGGCUCAUUCUGACUCUGUUGAAUCUGGCUAGGAACUCCCUGAGUCCUUCUCCCGGGGUUUGACGCACAGCAAAAAUGUCGUUAACCCGUGAUUCCGCCUUCCUUGCUCCCG